RNAcentral lists this ribosomal RNA (513 nucleotides) under uncultured bacterium. RNAcentral's name for it is "partial 16S ribosomal RNA". It matches the Rfam family "Bacterial small subunit ribosomal RNA", at positions 28 to 523 of the family's 1533-position model. The record is from RNAcentral.
GAUGAACGCUGGCGGCGUGCCUAAUACAUGCAAGUCGAGCGAACAGAUAAGGAGCUUGCUCCUUUGACGUUAGCGGCGGACGGGUGAGUAACACGUGGCUAACCUACCUAUAAGACUGGGAUAACUUCGUGAAACCGGAGCUAAUACCGUAACAUAUUUCGAAACGCAUGGUGCGAUAGUGAACGAUGGUUUUGCCAUCACAUAUAUCUGCACACGGGCCGGAUUAGCUAGUUGGUAAGGUAACGGCUUACCAAGGCUACGAUACGUAGCCGACCUGAGAGGGUGAUCGGCCACACUGGAACUGAGACACGGUCCAGACUCCUACGGGAGGCAGCAGUAGGGAAUCUUCCGCAAUGGGCGAAAGCCUGACGGAGCAACGCAGCGUGAGUGAUGAAGGUCUUCGGAUCGUAAAACUCUGUUAUUAGGGAAGAACAUACGUGUAAGUAACUGUGCACGUCUUGACGGUACCUAAUCAGAAAGCCACGGCUAACUACGUGCCAGCAGCCGCAGUAA